GCGGGCGUGGCGGAACUGGCAGACGCGCUGGACUUAGGAUCCAGUGGGAAAAACUCCCUUGGAGGUUCAAAUCCUCUCGCCCGCACCA
RNAcentral lists this transfer RNA (88 nucleotides) under Bacillota bacterium. RNAcentral describes it as "Firmicutes bacterium (anaerobic digester metagenome) tRNA-Leu". It matches the Rfam family "tRNA". From Rfam's summary of the family: Transfer RNA (tRNA) molecules are approximately 80 nucleotides in length. Their secondary structure includes four short double-helical elements and three loops (D, anti-codon, and T loops). Further hydrogen bonds mediate the characteristic L-shaped molecular structure. tRNAs have two regions of fundamental functional importance: the anti-codon, which is responsible for specific mRNA codon recognition, and the 3' end, to which the tRNAs corresponding amino acid is attached (by aminoacyl-tRNA synthetases). tRNAs cope with the degeneracy of the genetic code in two manners: having more than one tRNA (with a specific anti-codon) for a particular amino acid; and 'wobble' base-pairing, i.e. permitting non-standard base-pairing at the 3rd anti-codon position. The record is from RNAcentral. RNAcentral also lists the same sequence under 1 other name. Lineage: Bacteria; Bacillati; Bacillota.